UACGGGGGGAGCAAGCGUUGUUCGGAUUUACUGGGCGUAAAGGGCGCGUAGGCGGUCAGCACAAGUCAGUUGUGAAAUCUCCGGGCUUAACUCGGAAAGGUCAACUGAUACUGUGCGACUAGAGUGCGGAAGGGGCAACUGGAAUUCUCGGUGUAGCGGUGAAAUGCGUAGAUAUCGAGAGGAACACCUGCGGCGAAGGCGGGUUGCUGGGCUGACACUGACGCUGAAGCGCGAAAGCGAGGGGAGCGAACGGG
Molecule: ribosomal RNA, 254 nt
Filed under: uncultured bacterium
Lineage: Bacteria
Description: partial 16S ribosomal RNA
Rfam family: Bacterial small subunit ribosomal RNA
Source: RNAcentral